RNAcentral lists this ribosomal RNA (429 nucleotides) under Gemmatimonadota bacterium. RNAcentral's name for it is "Gemmatimonadetes bacterium partial 16S ribosomal RNA". It matches the Rfam family "Bacterial small subunit ribosomal RNA", at positions 355 to 776 of the family's 1533-position model. The record is from RNAcentral. Lineage: Bacteria; Pseudomonadati; Gemmatimonadota.
UAGGGAAUCUUCGGCAAUGGACGAAAGUCUGACCGAGCAACGCCGCGUGAGUGAAGAAGGUUUUCGGAUCGUAAAACUCUGUUGUUAGAGAAGAACAAGGACGUUAGUAACUGAACGUCCCCUGACGGUAUCUAACCAGAAAGCCACGGCUAACUACGUGCCAGCAGCCGCGGUAAUACGUAGGUGGCAAGCGUUGUCCGGAUUUAUUGGGCGUAAAGCGAGCGCAGGCGGUUUCUUAAGUCUGAUGUGAAAGCCCCCGGCUCCACCGGGGAGGGUCCUUGGAAACUGGGAGACUUGAGUGCAGAAGCGGAGAGUGGAAUUCCAUGUGUAGCGGUGAAAUGCGUCGAUAUAUGGAGGAACACCAGUGGCGAAGGCGGCUCUCUGGUCUGUAACUGACGCUGAGGCUCGAAAGCGUGGGGAGCAAACAGG